This 944-nucleotide unclassified non-coding RNA is filed under the name Bombus terrestris (buff-tailed bumblebee). RNAcentral's name for it is "misc RNA ENSBTSG00005027316.1". The record is from RNAcentral. Lineage: Eukaryota; Metazoa; Arthropoda; Insecta; Hymenoptera; Apidae.
UAUCCCUCUAUCCUUCACGUCACUUCUUGUCACACGAUCCUUUUAUUAUAUUCGGUUAAUGCUUAAUGCUGCGUUGCAACUCAGAGUGCACCGAUCACGUUAAAAACAAUCGCUGCUGCUUUGUUGCUGAACAUACCUGAAGAUGGCGUUCACAGUGAGAUUCUUCGAUUUUCAAGAUUCCGUUUGAAAGUGUGCAUGUAUAUGUGACAACGUACUGCAUUGCGUCGACGACCCAUUUUGCAAAGAUCUACUCCUUCGUACAAACUCUGAUAGUAAUAUGUAGAGUGUUUAAAGUGGUAUUGCGAUUUUUAUGCGUUCUCGCGCUUUUAAAAUCGCGAUUUUCUUUUAUUAUCGAUUUCUCGCUAAAAGCGUUGCACUUGAAAUCGAAAUCGGUUUCUGUACUAGGUCACGUGGCAAUAAGAUCACGUGGCGCUUCUGCAUACUCCGUUAGAGGGAAGCACGGAUAAUCUCGAGCAAGCACGACGGCCAACAAUCCUUUCCCGUAAAUACAUACAUACGUUAUUGUCAUCAAAGUGAGGUCGAUUAACUAAAACAAUACCACGGCUUCCAAAAAUGUAAUGCUCGUCGCGGCAUUAAAGGCUAUAUCGAGAGUGUACAAGUGUUUAUAUGUCACAGUCAGAAGUGACCUAGUUUACAAAUGAAUUUUCGCUUCUGAAUUUUCUUUGGCUAUGACCCUGCAGUGAGUGUUCUUGAAGUCGGUGGUCUCCGUGAGACAGUAGCGAUACUGUCUCGAAAGUGAGUUCAUGGCUGUUUAUAGAAUGCGGAAGAAAGUAAACGAUACCGUUUAAUCUGUUUAGAACGAGAAUUUUUAUGAAAUAUGAGUGUCAUUGUGUUUUCUGCGAAUGAAACAAUUAGGUUACGUUGACAAGAAACACGGUCCUUUACAAGUACUAAACAGCAUAAUAGCAUUUUGUAUGUCUAUG